RNAcentral lists this long non-coding RNA (1464 nucleotides) under Dromaius novaehollandiae (emu). Its description in RNAcentral is "lncRNA (ENSDNVG00000003372.1)". Lineage: Eukaryota; Metazoa; Chordata; Aves; Casuariiformes; Dromaiidae. The record is from RNAcentral.
CGAGCGGGAGCGGGGGGUUCCCGUGUGCGGGGGGGUCCCAGACGUCUGUGGGUCCUGGGGUCACGUUUGUGGGUCUCAGAGAUGCACUUGUGGGUCCUGGUGGUCCCGGGGUCACGCGUGUGGGUCCCAGGGUUGCAUGUGCAGAUCCUAAACAUACAUGUGUGGGUCCUGGGGUUAUAUAUGUGGGUCUCAGACGUGCCCRUGUGGGUCCCGGUGGUCCUGGGGUCGCGUGUGUGGGUCUCAUACACGCACAUGUGGGUCCUGGUGGUCCUGGGGUCACACAUGUGGGUCCCAGGGUCGCAUAUGCAGGUCCUAGACGUGUGUGUGGGUCCUGAGGUCACAUAUGUGGGUCUCAGACAUGCCCAUGUGGGUCCUAGCGGUCCUGGGGUCACAUAUGUGGGUCUCAGACGUGUGUUCAGGUCCUGGUGGUCCCAGGGCUGCAUGUGCAGGUCCUAGACACGCGUGUGUGGGUCUCGGUGGUGUCCGGGCUGCACGUGUGGGUCCCAGAGAUGCCCGUGCAGGUCCUGGGGGUCUCGGGGUCACGUGUGCAGGUCCUGGGGGGUCCUGGCGUCACGGGCGGGGUCCCCGGGUCGCCUGUGCGGGUCCCCAGGACCCCCCCGUCCGCCUGACACAGCACUCCCGUCCCCUCCUGUCCCCUCCCACCGCCGCGGGCCGAGCCGGCUCUCACCGCCGCUCCCUCAGGUUUCAGCCGAGGCAGCUACACCCAGAACCGCUGGGGCAGCAACACCCGCGACAACAACUCCAGCAACCGGGGCAGCUACAGCCGCAACACCCAGCAGCAGAGCAGCUACAGCCCGGCGCGCACCCAGAGCGCCUACAAGCCCAGCGGCAGCACCCCCCCCACCAGCAGCAGCGCGCCCAGCACCUACAGCCAGGGGCAGCAGCCCAGCUACAGCCAGCCCUACACCCAGGGCGGCUACACCCAGGGCGGCUACACCCCCAGCUACAACUACGGCAGUUACAGCGGUUACAGCCAAAGCUACCCCCAGCCUCCCCCCCCCACGGGGCAGACCUACAAUCAGCAGAACUACAACCAGUACCAACAGGUGAGCGCGGGGACGGCCCGGGGGACGUGGCGAUGGCACGGUGACACACCGAGGGGCGCGGUGACACCCUGGGGGAUGUGGGGAUGGUGUGGUGACACACCGAGGGGCGCGGUGACACCCUGGGGGACGUGGGGAUGGUGUGGUAACACCCCGGGGGACACGGUGACUCUAUGAGGGACAUGGGGAUGGGGUGGUGACAGUGUGGUGACACCUGGGGGGACACAGUGACACCCAGAGGGACAUGAUGAUGGUGUGGGGGACGUGGGGACAGUGUGAUGACACCGCAGGGGACAUGAUGACACCCCAGGGGAUGUGGUGACAGUGUGAUGACACACUAGAGGACACGGCGACACCCUGGGGGACUUGGGGAUGGUGUGAGGGAUGUGGGGACAGUGUG